RNAcentral lists this ribosomal RNA (428 nucleotides) under Brevundimonas sp. IIIA2-12. Its description in RNAcentral is "bacterial SSU rRNA". It matches the Rfam family "Bacterial small subunit ribosomal RNA", at positions 1 to 463 of the family's 1533-position model. The record is from RNAcentral. Lineage: Bacteria; Pseudomonadati; Pseudomonadota; Alphaproteobacteria; Caulobacterales; Caulobacteraceae.
UUGUGUUUGAAUCCGGCUCAGAGCGAACGCUGGCGGCAGGCCUAACACAUGCAAGUCGAACGAACUCUUCGGAGUUAGUGGCGGACGGGUGAGUAACACGUGGGAACGUGCCUUUAGGUUCGGAAUAACUCAGGGAAACUUGUGCUAAUACCGAAUGUGCCCUUCGGGGGAAAGAUUUAUCGCCUUUAGAGCGGCCCGCGUCUGAUUAGCUAGUUGGUGAGGUAAAGGCUCACCAAGGCGACGAUCAGUAGCUGGUCUGAGAGGAUGAUCAGCCACAUUGGGACUGAGACACGGCCCAAACUCCUACGGGAGGCAGCAGUGGGGAAUCUUGCGCAAUGGGCGAAAGCCUGACGCAGCCAUGCCGCGUGAAUGAUGAAGGUCUUAGGAUUGUAAAAUUCUUUCACCGGGGACGAUAAUGACGUACCCGA